Molecule: ribosomal RNA, 253 nt
Filed under: uncultured bacterium
Lineage: Bacteria
Description: partial 16S ribosomal RNA
Rfam family: Bacterial small subunit ribosomal RNA
Source: RNAcentral
UACGGAGGGUGCAAGCGUUAUCCGGAUUCACUGGGUUUAAAGGGUGCGUAGGCGGAUAGGUAAGUCCGUGGUGAAAUCCUGCAGCUUAACUGCAGAACUGCCGUGGAUACUAUCUAUCUUGAAUAUCGUGGAGGUUAGCGGAAUAUGUCAUGUAGCGGUGAAAUGCUUAGAUAUGACAUAGAACACCAAUUGCGAAGGCAGCUGGCUACGCAUAUAUUGACACUGAGGCACGAAAGCGUGGGGAUCAAACAGG